UACGUAGGUGGCGAGCGUUGUCCGGAUUUACUGGGCGUAAAGAGCGCGCAGGCGGUCGUUCAAGUCGCGUGUGAAAGCCCCCGGCUCAACUGGGGAGGGUCACGCGAUACUGAUCGACUCGAAGGCAGGAGAGGGAAGUGGAAUUCCCGGUGUAGUGGUGAAAUGCGUAGAUAUCCGGAGGAACACCGGUGGCGAAGGCGGCUUCCUGGACCGACACUGACGCUGAGGCGCGAAAGCUAGGGGAGCAAACGGG
This 253-nucleotide ribosomal RNA is filed under the name uncultured bacterium. RNAcentral's name for it is "partial 16S ribosomal RNA". It matches the Rfam family "Bacterial small subunit ribosomal RNA", at positions 524 to 776 of the family's 1533-position model. The record is from RNAcentral.